This 284-nucleotide ribosomal RNA is filed under the name uncultured eukaryote. RNAcentral describes it as "partial small subunit ribosomal RNA". It matches the Rfam family "Eukaryotic small subunit ribosomal RNA", at positions 587 to 869 of the family's 1831-position model. The record is from RNAcentral.
AGCUCCAAUAGCAUAUACUAACGUUGUUGCAGUUAAAAAGCUCGUAGUUGGAUUUCUGGUCGAUGGCGUUUAGGUGGGACCUCGUUGUUCCACCUAUCGUACAUUGGUCAAAAUUUGUCACUAAUCUUCAUGUGUCAUUGAUUUGACUCUGGGGACAAAUGACUCGUUUACUUUGAGAAAAUUAGAGUGUUCAAAGCAGGCAAUCGCCUUGAAUAUGUUAGCAUGGAAUAAUAACAUAGGACUUCGGUUCUAUUUGUUGGUUGUUCGAGAACUGGAGUAAUGAU